Molecule: ribosomal RNA, 642 nt
Filed under: Bacillus sp. (in: firmicutes)
Lineage: Bacteria; Bacillati; Bacillota; Bacilli; Caryophanales; Bacillaceae
Description: bacterial SSU rRNA
Rfam family: Bacterial small subunit ribosomal RNA
Source: RNAcentral
UGGCGGCGUGCCUAUACAUGCAAGUCGAGCGGACAGAUGGGAGCUUGCUCCCUGAUGUUAGCGGCGGACGGGUGAGUAACACGUGGGUAACCUGCCUGUAAGACUGGGAUAACUCCGGGAAACCGGGGCUAAUACCGGAUGCUUGUUUGAACCGCAUGGUUCAAGCAUAAAAGGUGGCUUCGGCUACCACUUACAGAUGGACCCGCGGCGCAUUAGCUAGUUGGUGAGGUAAUGGCUCACCAAGGCAACGAUGCGUAGCCGACCUGAGAGGGUGAUCGGCCACACUGGGACUGAGACACGGCCCAGACUCCUACGGGAGGCAGCAGUAGGGAAUCUUCCGCAAUGGACGAAAGUCUGACGGAGCAACGCCGCGUGAGUGAUGAAGGUUUUCGGAUCGUAAAGCUCUGUUGUUAGGGAAGAACAAGUACCGUUCGAAUAGGGCGGUACCUUGACGGUACCUAACCAGAAAGCCACGGCUAACUACGUGCCAGCAGCCGCGGUAAUACGUAGGUGGCAAGCGUUGUCCGGAAUUAUUGGGCGUAAAGGGCUCGCAGGCGGUUUCUUAAGUCUGAUGUGAAAGCCCCCGGCUCAACCGGGGAGGGUCAUUGGAAACUGGGGAACUUGAGUGCAGAAGAAGAGAGU